ACAUGCAGCUGUAUUACUGUCAUCUUACAAGCUAAGCAAGUUGAUCCGUAUCUAGUCAGUACUUGGAUGAGAGACCUCCAAGGAAACCCCAGUUGCUGCAGGAA
Chelonoidis abingdonii (Abingdon island giant tortoise) is the source of this 104-nucleotide ribosomal RNA. The record is from Ensembl. NCBI's taxonomy places the organism in Eukaryota, Metazoa, Chordata, Testudines, Testudinidae.